CUCGUGCUCUGCCUUCUCCAAGGUGCUCCACGCCUUAUUGAUGUCGGAGAUGCUCCUCCCUUCCCCCGGCACGUAGAGUUUGCGGUUGGCCGCCCUCAGUUGGCUUUGGAUGGUGAACAGCAGCACCUCCAGGUUCCCCUUCUCCUGGAACUUGCUGGGCUUCUCCAUGGUGCAGAAGGCGGUGAAGGCCUGGAGCUGCUGCUGCACCCCGGCCAACGAG
Molecule: long non-coding RNA, 220 nt
Filed under: Gallus gallus (chicken)
Lineage: Eukaryota; Metazoa; Chordata; Aves; Galliformes; Phasianidae
Source: RNAcentral